This 90-nucleotide microRNA precursor is filed under the name Branchiostoma floridae (Florida lancelet). RNAcentral describes it as "microRNA bfl-mir-4870 precursor". Lineage: Eukaryota; Metazoa; Chordata; Leptocardii; Amphioxiformes; Branchiostomatidae. The record is from miRBase by way of RNAcentral.
GAUUGACAGGUGUGAGCGAUGUUUGUACUGUCUGUCUGUUCACAGCACCACAACAGACAACAGCACAGACAUUUGUUCACGCCUGUUGUG